RNAcentral lists this ribosomal RNA (385 nucleotides) under uncultured eukaryote. Its description in RNAcentral is "SSU rRNA". It matches the Rfam family "Eukaryotic small subunit ribosomal RNA", at positions 587 to 972 of the family's 1831-position model. The record is from RNAcentral.
AGCUCCAAUAGCGUAUAUUAAAGUUGUUGCAGUUAAAAAGCUCGGAGUUGGAUUUCUGGCAGGAGCGACCGGUCACGCGCUUUGCGCGUGAACUUGCGUUGUCUCUGGCCAUCCUUGGAGAGAUCCUAUUUGGCAUUAAGUUGUCGGGUAGGGGGUACCCAUCGUUUACUGUGAAAAAAAUUAGAGUGUUUAAAGCAGGCUUAUGCCAUUGAAUAUAUUAGCAUGGAAUAAUAAGAUAGGACUUUGGAACUAUUUUGUUGGUUUGCGUUGCGAAGUAAUGAUUAAUAGUGACAGUAGGGGUUAUUCGUAUUCCGUUGUCAGAGGUGAAAUUCUUGGAUUUCCGGAAGACGAACUACUGCGAAAGCAUUUACCAAGGAUGUUUUCA